AGCCACUAGACGAUACUAUGUGGUUUAACCUGCCCAAUGUUUUAAUAAAUGGCCGCGGUAUCCUGACCGUGCUAAGGUAGCGUAAUCAGUUGACUUUUAAAUGGAGUCAGGAAUGAAUGGGAGAACCGGGUUUAGCUGUCUUAAAAUUACUAUAUCGAAUUUACUUUUUAAGUGAAAAAGCUUAAAUUAAGAAAAGGGACGAGAAGACCCUUAGAAUUUUUUUCAAGAUAAAUUUUAUUUUUUAUUAUUUUAUUGGGGCGAUAAAGAAAUACUAAAAACUUUCUUUUAAAUACAAGCCGAUUAUGUUAAGAAAGAAUAAAUUACCUGA
Molecule: ribosomal RNA, 328 nt
Filed under: Bulbaeolidia alba
Lineage: Eukaryota; Metazoa; Mollusca; Gastropoda; Nudibranchia; Aeolidiidae
Description: Aeolidiidae gen. sp. 'alba' partial large subunit ribosomal RNA
Source: RNAcentral